This is a ribosomal RNA of 375 nucleotides. It matches the Rfam family "Eukaryotic small subunit ribosomal RNA", at positions 582 to 975 of the family's 1831-position model.
AUUCCAGCUCCAAUAGCGUAUAUUAAAGUUGUUGCAGUUAAAAAGCUCGUAGUUGAACUUCUGGCUAUUCUUCCAGCUGGCUUCGGUCGCUGUAAGAGUGGUCAUCCGCUUGGGAACUACGUUCGAACUUCACUAUUCGGCGUAAGGAACAGGCAUUUUACUUAGAAAAAAUUAGAGUGUUCAAGGCAGGCUAUCGCCCUGAAUACACAAGCUUGGAAUAAUGAAAUAGGACUAUUUCCAUUUUAUUGGUUAUUGGAAUUAGUAAUGAUUAAUAGGGACAGUUGGGGACAUUAGUAUUUAAUUGUCAGAGGUGAAAUUCUUGGAUUUAUUAAAGACUAACUUAUGCGAAAGCAUUUGUCAAGGAUGUUUUCAUCG